CCUUGAGGCGUGGCUUCCGGAGCUAACGCGUUAAGUCGACCGCCUGGGGAGUACGGCCGCAAGGUUAAAACUCAAAUGAAUUGACGGGGGCCCGCACAAGCGGUGGAGCAUGUGGUUUAAUUCGAUGCAACGCGAAGAACCUUACCUGGUCUUGACAUCCACAGAACUUUCCAGAGAUGGAUUGGUGCCUUCGGGAACUGUGAGACAGGUGCUGCAUGGCUGUCGUCAGCUCGUGUUGUGAAAUGUUGGGUUAAGUCCCGCAACGAGCGCAACCCUUAUCCUUUGUUGCCAGCGGUCCGGCCGGGAACUCAAAGGAGACUGCCAGUGAUAAACUGGAGGAAGGUGGGGAUGACGUCAAGUCAUCAUGGCCCUUACGACCAGGGCUACACACGUGCUACAAUGGCGCAUACAAAGAGAAGCGACCUCGCGAGAGCAAGCGGACCUCAUAAAGUGCGUCGUAGUCCGGAUUGGAGUCUGCAACUCGACUCCAUGAAGUCGGAAUCGCUAGUAAUCGUGGAUCAGAAUGCCACGGUGAAUACGUUCCCGGGCCUUGUACACACCGCCCGUCACACCAUGGGAGUGGGUUGCAAAAGAAGUAGGUAGCUUAACCUUCGGGAGGGCGCUUACCACUUUGUGAUUCAUGACUGGGGUGAAGUCGUAACAAGGUAACCGUAGGGGAACCUGCGGUUGGAUCACCUCCUUA
This 703-nucleotide ribosomal RNA is filed under the name Escherichia coli. Its description in RNAcentral is "bacterial SSU rRNA". It matches the Rfam family "Bacterial small subunit ribosomal RNA", at positions 830 to 1533 of the family's 1533-position model. Lineage: Bacteria; Pseudomonadati; Pseudomonadota; Gammaproteobacteria; Enterobacterales; Enterobacteriaceae. The record is from RNAcentral.